This 253-nucleotide ribosomal RNA is filed under the name uncultured bacterium. RNAcentral's name for it is "partial 16S ribosomal RNA". It matches the Rfam family "Bacterial small subunit ribosomal RNA", at positions 524 to 776 of the family's 1533-position model. The record is from RNAcentral.
UACGUAGGGUGCAAGCGUUGUCCGGAAUUAUUGGGCGUAAAGAGCUCGUAGGCGGUUCGUCGCGUCGGCUGUGAAAACCCGGAGCUCAACUCCGGGCCUGCAGUCGAUACGGGCGGACUUGAGUUCGGCAGGGGAGACUGGAAUUCCUGGUGUAGCGGUGAAAUGCGCAGAUAUCAGGAGGAACACCGGUGGCGAAGGCGGGUCUCUGGGCCGAUACUGACGCUGAGGAGCGAAAGCGUGGGGAGCGAACAGG